GAUGAACGCUGGCGGCGUGCCUAAUACAUGCAAGUCGAGCGAACAGACGAGGAGCUUGCUCCUUUGACGUUAGCGGCGGACGGGUGAGUAACACGUGUGUAACCUACCUAUAAGACUGGGAUAACUUCGGGAAACCGGAGCUAAUACCGGAUAAUAUUUCGAACCGCAUGGUUCGAUAGUGAAAGAUGGCUUUGCUGUCACUUAUAGAUGGACCUGCGCCGUAUUAGCUAGUCGUUAAGGUAACGGCUUACCAAGGCAACGAUACGUAGCCGACCGGAGAGGGUGGUAGGCCACACUGGAAGUGAGACACGGUCAAGACUCCUACGAGAGGCAGCAGUAGGGAAUCUUACGCAAUAGGCGAAAGCAUGACGGAGCAACGCCGCGUGAGUGAUGAAGGUCUUCGGAUCGUAAAACUCUGUUAUUAGGGAAGAACAAACGUGUAAGUAAAUGUGCACGUCUUGACGGUACCUAAUCAGAAAGCCACGGCUAACUACGUG
This 497-nucleotide ribosomal RNA is filed under the name uncultured bacterium. RNAcentral describes it as "partial 16S ribosomal RNA". It matches the Rfam family "Bacterial small subunit ribosomal RNA", at positions 28 to 507 of the family's 1533-position model. The record is from RNAcentral.